GGGUCAGCAGUUCACCCAGGCGUCACCGGUCCGCAAGGACAGCUAAACCUGCCA
This is a regulatory RNA element of Rhodobacter sp., 54 nucleotides long. It matches the Rfam family "COG3860 RNA". NCBI's taxonomy places the organism in Bacteria, Pseudomonadati, Pseudomonadota, Alphaproteobacteria, Rhodobacterales. The record is from Rfam.